This 694-nucleotide ribosomal RNA is filed under the name uncultured bacterium. RNAcentral describes it as "bacterial SSU rRNA". It matches the Rfam family "Bacterial small subunit ribosomal RNA", at positions 111 to 823 of the family's 1533-position model. The record is from RNAcentral.
UAACGCGUGGGUAACCUGCCUCAUACAGGGGGAUAACAGUUAGAAAUGACUGCUAAUACCGCAUAAGCGCACGGGACUGCAUGGUCCAGUGUGAAAAACCGAGGUGGUAUGAGAUGGACCCGCGUCUGAUUAGCUGGUUGGCGGGGUAACGGCCCACCAAGGCGGCGAUCAGUAGCCGACCUGAGAGGGUGGCCGGCCACAUUGGGACUGAGACACGGCCCAAACUCCUACGGGAGGCAGCGGUGGGGAAUAUUGCACAAUGGGGGAAACCCUGAUGCAGCAACGCCGCGUGAGUGAAGAAGUAUUUCGGUAUGUAAAGCUCUAUCAGCAGGGAAGAGAAUGACGGUACCUGACUAAGAAGCCCCGGCUAACUACGUGCCAGCAGCCGCGGUAAUACGUAGGGGGCGAGCGUUAUCCGGAUUUACUGGGUGUAAAGGGAGCGUAGACGGUUCUGCAAGUCUGAAGUGAAAGCCCGUGGCUUAACCGCGGAACGGCUUUGGAAACUGUGGAACUGGAGUGCUGGAGAGGCAAGCGGAAUUCCUAGUGUAGCGGUGAAAUGCGUAGAUAUUAGGAGGAACACCAGUGGCGAAGGCGGCUUGCUGGACAGUAACUGACGUUGAGGCUCGAAAGCGUGGGGAGCAAACAGGAUUAGAUACCCUGGUAGUCCACGCGGUAAACGAUGAAUGCUAGGUGU